Molecule: unclassified non-coding RNA, 268 nt
Filed under: Glomeraceae sp.
Lineage: Eukaryota; Fungi; Glomeromycota; Glomeromycetes; Glomerales; Glomeraceae
Description: partial contains 5.8S ribosomal RNA and internal transcribed spacer 2
Rfam family: 5.8S ribosomal RNA (bases 1-71)
Source: RNAcentral
GUGAAUCAUCGAAUUUUUGAACGCAAAUUGCGCUUCCUGGCAUCCCGGGAAGUAUGCCUGUUUCAGUGUCAGUUAAAUAAAAAUCGGUGUUGUUGCUUCUUUUCGUGGUGACGCUGCGGUAUUGAGUUGUCUUACCUUCGGUUAUGUUACUUAAAAUUUUGCAUGCUUUUCGAACGUAUUUAAAUUUCUUAUUUACUUUUGAGAUAUCGAAUACUUUAUUAGUUUCGGACAUCCUCAUGAUUCGCACGUAUAAUUUUUCAUUAAAUGA